This 600-nucleotide long non-coding RNA is filed under the name Pongo abelii (Sumatran orangutan). Its description in RNAcentral is "lincRNA". Lineage: Eukaryota; Metazoa; Chordata; Mammalia; Primates; Hominidae. The record is from RNAcentral.
UAUUCACCGUUCCUUUGAGUUCCUCGUAGAUUCUGGAUAUUAGUCCUUUGUUGGAGGUAUAGAUUGUGAAGAUUUUCUCCAAUUCAUCGCCGUUUUUUAGAGUUUUUCCUCACUAAAUAUUGACGAAUGGAACCUAGCCCUGUAACGUUGAUAGACGGGCGGGUCCGAAGUGGCUGAGGUGGAGUAUAUGCAGGAGAAGAACUGAGGCUCCUGAGUGCAGCAUCUUGUCCAAGAGGUUUCGUCCAAAUGCAUGGGGAACAUCCGCAUUGUGAUGUUUAGCUCUCAGCUUCCAACUUGGGCAUUCUAGCAUCUGUAUUUCUCAUUUAAUGUUUUAUGGGCACACAUGCAGAGGAGUUUUCGUCACUCAAAAGCCGGACAACUUCCCCUGCCAACCCAUUGGAAUUAAAAAAAACCUCGAUAACCUCUUAGACACAUGGAAAUGGAACCCUGAGCAGAGAUUUUGGUGGGUAUCUGUACCGCCUAAGGACCUUGGGUGGACCUGGCCAGCAAUGGGACUGUUACUGAUGAUGCAUCACAUGAUGUCACUAGGGCAAGCAUAGAUCAGCUGAGGAUCAAUCUUCCCGCCAGGUGUGUGUGAAA